GUUUUGAAUGCUAAGGCUAAGAAAGAGAUUGGCCCUCCUUCAAAUCAGAACUCUGAACCGGGGCCCUGAGUACCAACGCCGGGCUCAGCAGGAAGCCGCAGGCCACUGCACAAACUCUCCUUGUCUGCCUCCAGCCACUGUAGGACCUGUCCCCACUGUGCGGCACCUUCCAGCUCUCUGAUAAGUGUUUAAGAGGGGAAGAGGAUAAAAAUGUCUAAGUUUUUAAUACUACUCUGAUUAAACAUGGACACAGUCUUACGACCAGUGAAAUUUCAAAAGAAAUCAUGAGCCAAAAGAACAAGAUGCAUCAUGUAAAGUGCAGGCCGUCCUGGCUUACCAGAGAGUUCUUUGUUCCGUGUCUGCUUCGGAAUCUCAGGUGCACAGACAGCAAAGAUGACAUCGUGAUAGACUGCACUGUUGCUCACUCGAGGGAAUCACGGCGUUCAGAGGCGGGGGCAGCCGGGAUGACCCGGCCUUCGGUACCCGCAUCUGAGAGGCUGCGACGCCGUGGCCGGCUCUGUUCUAGAAGCCCGUGGAAGGCUCUCCCCAGUCUUUGUUUUCUAUCGUACAUCUCUGCAGUGCUAAAUGGGCCCCUCCCUCGCGGGGCUCUGGUGCGCGCGCACCUCCACUCUCUUUUUGUCUCCUUUCCCGCCUCGCCCUGGUCCCCUCCUUUCUCUUUUCAAGAGUCCUGUUCUGAGUGCCAAUUUUCUGAAUUUCGCUUAUUUUGUUUUUGUUUUUUAAUGUACAGAGUUGGUCCCUGUCUAUACUCUCGGUACAGACACCAAAUACACAGUCAUAAUUUUUUUCCAACGUGCACUGUUGUUGCCUCCUAAAACCCUACUCAUCACUGAGACCUUUGCUGAAAUCCUUCGGGGUGAUGGUUUUUGCCGUGCGGCCCCCAGAUGGACACAGUGAAGACCUCCCUGGUAUCAAG
This 934-nucleotide long non-coding RNA is filed under the name Fukomys damarensis (Damara mole-rat). RNAcentral describes it as "lncRNA (ENSFDAG00000026089.1)". Lineage: Eukaryota; Metazoa; Chordata; Mammalia; Rodentia; Bathyergidae. The record is from RNAcentral.